Long non-coding RNA from Cyprinus carpio (common carp), 1247 nucleotides. The record is from Ensembl. NCBI's taxonomy places the organism in Eukaryota, Metazoa, Chordata, Actinopteri, Cypriniformes, Cyprinidae.
CCAGCCAAGGGUCCGGAGUCACUUACUUUCUGUUCAUCCAUCAGGUGGAUGGGCUGAACUCCACCUUCAACACAACACAAACCUCAUAUGUUCUAACAGGGUUGCACUGUGGAAUGAGUUUCAUCGUACAAGCAACUGCUCAGGACAGCACCUGCACCAGUCCGUACGGAAGCCCAACACAGAUCUACACAGCUCCCUGUCCACCCAGUAGCCUGACAGCUGCUGCUAGCUGUGGCACGAACAGGGUCACCAUCAGCUGGCUGAACGGCACAGGGGCGCACUCCUAUACUGCCAGUGUGGUGGGAAAUAAUGGACCAACUGUUUCUUGUACAUCCAACACCACUUCCUGUUCUGUAAAGGUUGAAUGUGGACAUACAUAUAUAGCCACUGUGGUUUCCACGGUUGGCCUCUGCAACAGCACCACCAACAACAGCAUCCAGUUUAAAUCAGGUAUCAAACUGCAAUUGCUUUUUAAGCAGACUUUUGUGCAAACUUGACAAAAUUGGUAAAAUAUUUUCCUCUUCGUUUCACCUCCACGUGUGUCACAGCGGAUUGCCUGCCUAGUAAUGUGAUAGCGCAGGUAGGCUGCAAUUCUGACAUGCUAGCUGUACACUGGGACACCAGUGCAAACAACGCUGACUCCUAUACAGCCCUGGCUAUUGGUACAGAUGGCACUCGGCUGUCCUGCAGCACAAGCUCUACUACCUGUACCAUUCAGAACUUAAGAUGUGGCCAGACCUAUAGCAUUGCCGUGACCACAUCCAACGUCAACUGUGGAGUCAUUGAGGGUUCAGACUACCAAAUUGAGACAGGUAAACUGACUAAAUUAAUUCUAAACCAACCCCAACCCCUUAAAAUGUAUUAAUGUAGCCAUUUAUCAUCUGUAUCCCAUCAGCCCCAUGUCAACCACAGAGCCCAGCUGUUCAACUGCAGUGCAGCACUAACAUUGCUACGGUAACAUGGGACAAUAAUGGAGCAGAUCAGUUUGACGUGGUGACUGCGCUCAACUUUACCGGUGGUGCGACAGUGUGUAAUAGCACAGAUAGGUCUUGCACGUUUGCACAGCUACGCUGUGGUGAGUCAUACUCACUCAGUGUAGUUGGAUUCAAUGGAAACUGCACCAGUGAACCUAGCGAGAGCUUCAAUCUUAAUACAGGUAAGACAAAUCUGCACACAGGUGAGGGAUACUUUGGCCUGAGACUGUUAUAGAUAAUAAAGACAAAGACUAAUAUAGCUGAUAGCUGUAU